GCCCAGCCAUAACACAACAAUUAAAUCACCCAUUGUUCGCCAAAUAACUACGAGUGAAAACUUAAAAUUUAAAAGACUUGACGGUAUCUCACAACAACCUAGAGGAGCCUGUCCAAUAACCGAUACCCCACGAUCAACCCAACCCACCCUAGCCCAACAGUCUAUAUACCGCCGUCGCCAGCCUACCUUGUGAAAGAAACAAAGUGAGCCCAAUAGCCACCCACUAAUACGACAGGUCGAGGUGUAACUCAUGGGUGGGCCCAAGAUGGGCUACAUUUUCUAACACAGAAAAUACGAAUAAACUAUGAAAUAAGAAACUGAAGGUGGAUUUAGCAGUAUAUAAGGAAUAAACAUACCUAAUUGAAAUUAGCGCAAUGAGAUGCGUACACACCGCCCGUCAUCCCUGCCAACAAACAAAAACAUCCAUAAAAACAAGAAAAGAACAAAACAGGGCAAGUCGUAACAUGGUAAGCGUACUGGAAAGUGCGCUUAGAAA
This 496-nucleotide ribosomal RNA is filed under the name Euprepiophis mandarinus (Mandarin rat snake). RNAcentral's name for it is "partial 12S ribosomal RNA". Lineage: Eukaryota; Metazoa; Chordata; Lepidosauria; Squamata; Colubridae. The record is from RNAcentral.